This 93-nucleotide non-coding RNA is filed under the name uncultured Gemmiger sp. RNAcentral describes it as "THF riboswitch". It matches the Rfam family "THF (Tetrahydrofolate) riboswitch aptamer". From Rfam's summary of the family: THF riboswitch presents a pseudoknot that joins P1-P2 and the loop of P3 and two THF binding. The record is from RNAcentral. Lineage: Bacteria; Bacillati; Bacillota; Clostridia; Eubacteriales; Oscillospiraceae.
GCAGAGUAGGGGCCCGCGCGUUAAGUGCCUGACCAACGGGGAGUUGUGGCAGGACGAAGCCUUGUGCGCGGUGCGGGUUCCGCAUCCCACUGC